UAGCGGAGCGUGUGGUUUAAUUCGAUGCAACACGAAAAACCUUACCAAGGCUUGACAUGCUAGUAGUAGGAACCCGAAAGGGGGACGACCGGCCUUCGGGCUGGAGCUAGCACAGGUGCUACAUGGCUGUCGUCAGCUCGUGCCGUGAGGUGUUGGGUUAAGUCCCAUAACGAGCGCAACCCCUGUUCUGUGUUGAUUUCUCACAGGAGACUGCCCAGGAAUUCUGGGAGGAAGGUGGGGAUGACGUCAAGUCAGCAUGGCCUUUAUGCCUGGGCAACACACACGCUACAAUGGGUGGUACAGAGGGCAGCUAAAGAGCGAUCUGGAGCUAAUCCCACAAACCCACCCCCAGUUCAGAUUGCAGGCUGAAACCCGCCUGCAUGAAGUUGGAGUUGCUAGUAACCGCAUAA
This 410-nucleotide ribosomal RNA is filed under the name uncultured bacterium. Its description in RNAcentral is "bacterial SSU rRNA". It matches the Rfam family "Bacterial small subunit ribosomal RNA", at positions 930 to 1349 of the family's 1533-position model. The record is from RNAcentral.